RNAcentral lists this ribosomal RNA (662 nucleotides) under Microcystis aeruginosa FACHB-930. RNAcentral describes it as "bacterial SSU rRNA". It matches the Rfam family "Bacterial small subunit ribosomal RNA", at positions 99 to 795 of the family's 1533-position model. Lineage: Bacteria; Bacillati; Cyanobacteriota; Cyanophyceae; Chroococcales; Microcystaceae. The record is from RNAcentral.
CGGACGGGUGAGUAACGCGUAAGAAUCUAACUUCAGGACGGGGACAACAGUUGGAAACGACUGCUAAUACCCGAUGUGCCGAAAGGUGAAACCUAAUUGGCCUGAAGAAGAGCCUGCGUCUGAUUAGCUAGUUGGUGGGGUAAGAGCCUACCAAGGCGACGAUCAGUAGCUGGUCUGAGAGGAUGAGCAGCCACACUGGGACUGAGACACGGCCCAGACUCCUACGGGAGGCAGCAGUGGGGAAUUUUCCGCAAUGGGCGAAAGCCUGACGGAGCAACGCCGCGUGAGGGAGGAAGGUCUUUGGAUUGUAAACCUCUUUUCUCAAGGAAGAAGUUCUGACGGUACUUGAGGAAUCAGCCUCGGCUAACUCCGUGCCAGCAGCCGCGGUAAUACGGGGGAGGCAAGCGUUAUCCGGAAUUAUUGGGCGUAAAGCGUCCGCAGGUGGUCAGCCAAGUCUGCCGUCAAAUCAGGUUGCUUAACGACCUAAAGGCGGUGGAAACUGGCAGACUAGAGAGCAGUAGGGGUAGCAGGAAUUCCCAGUGUAGCGGUGAAAUGCGUAGAGAUUGGGAAGAACAUCGGUGGCGAAAGCGUGCUACUGGGCUGUAUCUGACACUCAGGGACGAAAGCUAGGGGAGCGAAAGGGAUUAGAUACCCCUGUAGUC